This 483-nucleotide ribosomal RNA is filed under the name uncultured bacterium. Its description in RNAcentral is "partial 16S ribosomal RNA". It matches the Rfam family "Bacterial small subunit ribosomal RNA", at positions 28 to 523 of the family's 1533-position model. The record is from RNAcentral.
GACGAACGCUGGCGGCGUGCUUAACACAGGCAAGUCGAACGAUGAAGCCGGAGCUUGCUCCGGUGGAUUAGUGGCGAACGGGUGAGUAACACGUGAGCAAUCUGCCCUUGACUCUGGGAUAACUGCGGGAAACUGUAGCUAAUACCGGAUACGACACCUUGGGGCAUCCCAGGGUGUGGAAAGAAUUUCGGUCAAGGAUGAGCUCGCGGCCUAUCAGCUAGUUGGUGAGGUAAUGGCGCACCAAGGCGACGACGGGUAGCCGGCCUGAGAGGGUGACCGGCCACACUGGAACUGAGACACGGUCCAGACUCCUACGGGAGGCAGCAGUGGGGAAUAUUGCACAAUGGGCGAAAGCCUGAUGCAGCAACGCCGCGUGAGGGAUGAAGGCCUUCGGGUUGUAAACCUCUUUUAGCAGGGAAGAAGCGAAAGUGACGGUACCUGCAGAAAAAGCACCGGCUAACUACGUGCCAGCCGCCGCGGUAA